GCGCACACACACGCACGAUCACGCAAACACGUAAAAAGGAAACCAACGAAACCCACGCACUUCUUAUCCCUUGGCAACGAAGCUCCUGAAGCCACGGGGAGACCACACGAGGAGGACCUUCUCCUGCAAUCCCUGGAUCCUACACGCUGUAUCCCACGACGCAGCGAAUGCACCAUCUCCCUUCAUCAUCUCUCCUGCCGAUGCUGAUGCUGGGAUGCCUCCUGUUCCUCCUUCGUCAGCAACUCCUUCAGCAUCCUCGAGACGUAGCGGAGGCCGAGCGGAGGUCCUGCAUCGGCGGAGACUGCGGCUGGACUCUCAAGUGGUCCGCUCCAGGGCGGGGGUCAGUGCUCCCCAACCCCCCCUACCGUCCUGCCUUCAGAACUAUUCCCAACAAUAAUCUUCAACAAAGCUAAGAAAACCCGCUCUAAUGGUAACACAUAUGAACAAUGUUCAUGAACGUUCCGAUUAAGCGCUGAGUAGGUGUGUGUGUCAUGAGUGAUGCCCACGGACGACCUUCAAUGUCAUGAGGCGCUUCUGACGACUAUGGUUCAUGAACUUUCUUCUC
Long non-coding RNA from Penaeus monodon (black tiger shrimp), 565 nucleotides. RefSeq lists it as uncharacterized. The record is from RefSeq and is a predicted model, not a curated record. The transcript has 2 exons. NCBI's taxonomy places the organism in Eukaryota, Metazoa, Arthropoda, Malacostraca, Decapoda, Penaeidae.